GACGUAGGGCGCGAGCGUUGUCCGGAUUUAUUGGGCGUAAAGAGCUCGUAGGCGGCUCGUUGCGUCGGCUGUGAAAACCCGCAGCUCAACUGUGGGCCUGCAGCCGAUACGGGCGGGCUGGAGUUCGGUAGGGGAGACUGGAAUUCCUGGUGUAGCGGUGAAAUGCGCAGAUAUCAGGAGGAACACCGGUGGCGAAGGCGGGUCUCUGGGCCGAUACUGACGCUGAGGAGCGAAAGCGUGGGGAGCGAACAGG
This 253-nucleotide ribosomal RNA is filed under the name uncultured bacterium. Its description in RNAcentral is "partial 16S ribosomal RNA". It matches the Rfam family "Bacterial small subunit ribosomal RNA", at positions 524 to 776 of the family's 1533-position model. The record is from RNAcentral.